GUUGGGGAUAUAACUCAGUUGGUAGAGUGCCUGCCUUGCAUGCACAAGGUCCUGAGUUCAAUCCCCAGCAACA
RNAcentral lists this transfer RNA (73 nucleotides) under Marmota monax (woodchuck). Its description in RNAcentral is "tRNA.Ala". The stretch from base 11 to 68 matches the Rfam family "tRNA", at positions 8 to 63 of the family's 71-position model. Rfam says of the family: Transfer RNA (tRNA) molecules are approximately 80 nucleotides in length. Their secondary structure includes four short double-helical elements and three loops (D, anti-codon, and T loops). Further hydrogen bonds mediate the characteristic L-shaped molecular structure. tRNAs have two regions of fundamental functional importance: the anti-codon, which is responsible for specific mRNA codon recognition, and the 3' end, to which the tRNAs corresponding amino acid is attached (by aminoacyl-tRNA synthetases). tRNAs cope with the degeneracy of the genetic code in two manners: having more than one tRNA (with a specific anti-codon) for a particular amino acid; and 'wobble' base-pairing, i.e. permitting non-standard base-pairing at the 3rd anti-codon position. The record is from RNAcentral. Lineage: Eukaryota; Metazoa; Chordata; Mammalia; Rodentia; Sciuridae.